GAUGAAGAACGUAGCGAAAUGCGAUACGUAGUGUGAAUUGCAGAAUUCAGUGAAUCAUCGAAUCUUUGAACGCACAUUGCACCUCUCGGUAUUCCGGGAGGUAUGCCUGUUCGAGCGUCAUUUGUACCCUCAAGCUCUGCUUGGUGUUGGGUGUUCGUUCCGCCUCUGUGUGUGAACUCGCCUCAAAACAAUUGGCAGCCGGCGUACUUGUUUCGGAGCGCAGCACAUUUUGCGAUCCAGAUCAACGCACAGCGGCAUCCAAGAAGCCUUAUUUAACGCUCUUGACCUCGGAUCAGGUAGGGAUACCCGCUGAACUUAAGCAUAUCAAUAAGCGGAGGA
RNAcentral lists this unclassified non-coding RNA (339 nucleotides) under soil metagenome. RNAcentral's name for it is "partial contains 5.8S ribosomal RNA, internal transcribed spacer 2, and large subunit ribosomal RNA". The stretch from base 1 to 120 matches the Rfam family "5.8S ribosomal RNA", at positions 35 to 154 of the family's 154-position model. The record is from RNAcentral.